GUAAGCUCCUAGCUGCUGGUUUGAAGUCACUUCCGACCUGGUUCUCGGCUCCCUCGGGGAUCCGGGUGCUCUGCAGAUCUUGUUUACCCGGUUCUAUUUCGCCUGCCAUCCUAAACUGCGGCUGUGUAAUCCAGCACGGAGAAGUCUUGCUGACACAGACUCAUCUAGAAUUCAGCUGUACCAACCUAUGAAUAAAGUACAAAGCAGCAGGAGAAUUCCUCAACGGUUCUUCUCACUUACUUCUAUUAUAACUGAAAGGGGAAGGACACGGAAGAGGAUGUGUCACAGAUUUUAUCACUCCAGCUGCUAAGCAAUAGUUUUCAUUUGUUCCAGAAAAACCUGAUUAGUUUAUCAGACAAGUCAGCUCUGAUGACUUCCUGCCAUCGUGGAAUGAAAUUUCACAGCACAUUGCCGAGUUUCGAUAGUCAUCUCUGUUCUCUGGUCUUACUGUGUGUGUCAUAUCACAUAAUUGUCAGGACCUAAGAUGUCUGUCCCUGUUAAGAAGCAUCAUGAAGAUGAAAACUGUAAUGAGGACAGCCCCACCAAC
Molecule: long non-coding RNA, 547 nt
Filed under: Equus caballus (horse)
Lineage: Eukaryota; Metazoa; Chordata; Mammalia; Perissodactyla; Equidae
Description: lncRNA (ENSECAG00000056560.1)
Source: RNAcentral